RNAcentral lists this ribosomal RNA (715 nucleotides) under bacterium IMCC8513. Its description in RNAcentral is "bacterial SSU rRNA". It matches the Rfam family "Bacterial small subunit ribosomal RNA", at positions 28 to 741 of the family's 1533-position model. The record is from RNAcentral.
AUUGAACGCUGGCGGCAGGCCUAAGACAUGCAAGUCGAGCGAGAAAGUACUUCGGUACGAGUACAGCGGCGGACGGGUGAGUAACGCGUAGGAAUCUACCUAGUAGUGGGGGACAACUCGUGGAAACGCGAGCUAAUACCGCAUACGCCCUACGGGGGAAAGCGGGGGAUCUUCGGACCUCGUGCUAUUAGAUGAGCCUGCGUAAGAUUAGCUAGUUGGUGGGGUAAAGGCCUACCAAGGCGACGAUCUUUAGCUGGUCUGAGAGGAUGAUCAGCCACACCGGGACUGAGACACGGCCCGGACUCCUACGGGAGGCAGCAGUCGGGAAUAUUGCGCAAUGGGCGAAAGCCUGACGCAGCCAUGCCGCGUGUGUGAAGAAGGCCCUAGGGUUGUAAAGCACUUUCAAUUGGGAGGAAAAGCUAAUGGUUAAUAGCCAUUAGCCCUGACGUUACCUUUAGAAGAAGCACCGGCUAACUCCGUGCCAGCAGCCGCGGUAAUACGGAGGGUGCAAGCGUUAAUCGGAAUUACUGGGCGUAAAGCGCGCGUAGGCGGCUCUUUAAGUCGGAUGUGAAAGCCCCGGGCUCAACCUGGGAACUGCAUCCGAUACUGGGGAGCUAGAGUGUAGGAGAGGGAGGUAGAAUUCCAUGUGUAGCAGUGAAAUGCGUAGAUAUAUGGAGGAAUACCAGUGGCGAAGGCGGCCUCCUGGCUUAACACU